This 28-nucleotide small RNA is filed under the name Bombyx mori (domestic silkworm). RNAcentral's name for it is "ovarian small RNA-11983". The record is from RNAcentral. Lineage: Eukaryota; Metazoa; Arthropoda; Insecta; Lepidoptera; Bombycidae.
AGCAAAAGAGAACGAUGUCUUGUGCCAA